AUGGCCAUGGCAUCACCUUGGCAAGCUGGGAGACGCAUAAACAUCGAGGGGAUGGCGCGUCCGGUGGCUGUGGACCACCGCAUCAGCCUCCCCUACUACUUCCGCAUCGCCGACAAUCUUCUCCGCCAGGCGAACAUAUAUCGAGAGGAAAAGAACCUCAUCGACCUGUACAUUAUCCUCCUGAGAUACUCGAGCCUGUUGUCUGAGACGAUCCCGAAGCAUCGUGAUUACCAUGCAUUCAAGUCAAGAGAGAAGGAAUUCCUGAAGAAAGGGCCGCAUAACUCAGAUAAACUCUUGAAUGUUAUCAGUGAGCUCGAGUCUCUGAAGCCGAUUGUGAAACAGCAAAUUGCUGAGCUUAAUAGAAGGGCUGCAGAAGAACGUAAUGGUCCACAUGAAACCUAUGCUGGAAAUGGUGCAAGCAGUAGGACAGAUCAGCUUGCUGCAAGUCCGUAUAUGGUGCAGCCAGCAUUUGGAAGCUCAACAGGACCAUUGCAGAAACCAUCCUCUAGGUGGAACCAUCAAGAGGAACCUGAUAGGCAUCUAGUCAAAUCAUAUGCCAGUUUGCCAUAUCCAAAAGAUGAAACACUAUCCAGACAUUCAAUACUAGGACCGAAUGGGCUUCAUGGCCAAUGGACAAGGCCUGUUAGUGGUGUCAAGGUCCAGUAUCCAAGUUACCCCGAACUGAACCAAAGCAAUAUCCCUAGUUUAGUUCCAGCAAUCUUGAACCAAAAUGACUCACAUGAUCCUCAUACAACAUCACUGGAUGGAUUGACAAAUAACAAUGGUGAUAUGCAGUCUGUUCUCUCACUUGAUGAUGGUCAAUGGUCUUUACCAGUAAAAGAGCCAGCCUCUGUGUCUCCUGCUAGUUUCGAGGAAGAAUUCUCCCAGCUGAAUAUAAGACAGCCUAACCCCCCACCAGUCCUGGCACAAGUACAUCCUGAGCGUAGACCGAUUUCUCCAUCAAGAGUAGCUGAUCCAAGACCAGGACUUGCUACCUCUGACACAGGACGUUUUCAAAAUUUGCAUGUGCCGGUGGCAUUAAUGGAGUCUUUUCUGAGACUUGCUGAGGCAAAUACUGCAAAAAAUCUGGAAACAUGUGGGAUUCUUGCUGGUAACCUGAAAAAGAGAACUUUUUAUGUGACGACACUGAUAAUUCCUAAGCAGGAAUCAACGUCUGAUUCAUGUCAAGCUACGAAUGAAGAGGAAAUAUUUGAAGUUCAGGACAAAGGCUCACUUUUCACCCUCGGUUGGAUUCAUACACAUCCGACACAGACCUGCUUUCUGUCUUCCAUUGAUCUUCAUAAUCAUUAUUCGUAUCAGGUCAUGCUUCCUGAAGCAAUUGCAAUUGUCAUGGCACCUACCGAUACAACAAGGAAGCACGGCAUAUUUCACCUCACGGAUCCAGGUGGCAUGGGGGUGAUCCACGAUUGCCAGGAGACUGGUUUCCAUCCUCACGAGGAGCCUCUUGAUGGCACUUCAAUCUACGAGCAUUGCUCUCAUGUGUACAUGAACCCCAGUGUGAAGUUUGAUAUGGUCGACCUCCGUCGCGUGUGA
This 1554-nucleotide ribosomal RNA is filed under the name Triticum aestivum (bread wheat). Its description in RNAcentral is "partial small subunit ribosomal RNA". The record is from RNAcentral. Lineage: Eukaryota; Viridiplantae; Streptophyta; Magnoliopsida; Poales; Poaceae.